RNAcentral lists this long non-coding RNA (4796 nucleotides) under Cairina moschata (Muscovy duck). Its description in RNAcentral is "domestica (muscovy Duck (domestic type)) lncRNA (ENSCMMG00000013516.1)". Lineage: Eukaryota; Metazoa; Chordata; Aves; Anseriformes; Anatidae. The record is from RNAcentral.
AUGUCCCCCCGGGGGGGCCCUGUCCCGUGUCGCCCCCCAUGGUGGGCACAGAAGGGUCCCUUGUCCCCUAGGGUGGUCACAGGGGUGGCCCUGUCCCCCCCCACCCCCAGGAGUGUCCCCGUGUCCCCCAGGUCACUCAGAGGGUGUCCCCACCCCCCAGGGAACCCCCAGGGGUGUCCCCAUGUCCCCCAGGACACCCCCAGAAGUGUCCCCGGGUCCCCCAGGCCACUCAGGGAGGUGCCCCCAUAUUCCAGGCCACCCCCAGAGAUGUCCCCAUGUCCCCCAGACCACUCAGCUGGUGUCCCCAUGUCCCCCCAGGCCACAUCCAGGAGUGUCCCCACGUCCCCCAGGCCCCCCCCAGGGGUGUCCCCAUGCCCCCCAGACUACCCCCAGGGGUGUCCCUGUCCCCCCAGGUCCCCCCCAGGGGUGUCCCUGUCCCCCAGGUCCCUCCCUGGGGCUGUUCCCACGUCCCCCAGGCCCCCCCCAGGGGUGUCCCCCAGACCACUUGGGGGUGUCCCUGUCCCCCCAGGCCACCCCCAGGAGUGUCCCCAUGUCCCCCAGACCACUCAGAUGGUGUCCCCGUGUCCCUCCAGGCCACUUGGGGGGUGUCCCCGUCCCCCAGGCCACCCCCAGGGGUGUCCCUGUCCCCCAGGCCACAUCCAGGAGUGUCCCCACGCCCCCCAGGGGUGUCCCCAUGCCCCCCAGACUACCCCCAGGGGUGUCCCUGUCCCCCCAGGUCCCCCCCAGGGGUGUCCCUGUCCCCCAGGUCCCUCCCUGGGGCUGUUCCCACGUCCCCCAGCCCCCCCCCAGGGGUGUCCCCGCCCCCCCGGGACACCCGUCGCCCGGUACCUGCAGCUCCUUGAUCCAGGAGCAGUGCCAGUAGGACAGCCCCACCCACUUGACGAAGAACUCGCGCUCGGAGCGGCCCUGCAGCACCUUGGGGGGGCCCUCGGGGGGCCCCUCGGGGGGGGGCACGGCCACCGGGGGGGGCGGCUCCCCCCACCGCCAGUACAGGAUCUUCUGCACCCGCCCCUUCAGCACCGGGCACUGCGGGGACAGCGGCGUUGGGGCGCAGGGGACGUCACCCCCCGGCCCCACCCUGUCCCCACUGCGUCCCCAUCCUGGCCCCAGCCCUGGCCCCGGCCUGUUCCUGUCCCCAGCAGGUCCCUGUCCCUGUCCCCAACCCCAAACCAUCGCUGUGUCUGUCCCCAACACCUCCCUCGCCUGUCCCCAUCCCAUCCCUGUCCCUAUUCCCAUCCCGUCCCUGUCCCCAUCCCAUCCCUGUCCCAACUCCGUCCCCACCAGGUCUCUUGUCCCCAUCCUGUCCCCAUCCUGUCCCUGUCCCCAUCUAUAUCCCUGCCCCUAUCCUGUCCCCAUCCCCAUGUCCUUGUCCUCAUCCCAUCCCAUCCCCAUCCUGUCCCCAGCUCCAUCUGUUCCUUUAUCCCUGUCCCCAUCCCAUCCCCAUCCCUGUCCCUGUCCUGUCCCCAUCCUUGUCCCAUCCUCAUCCCCGACCUGUCCUUGUCCCAUCCCCUCCCUGUCCCCGUCCCCAUCCCUGUCCCAUCCAUGUCCCUAUUCCCAUCCCAUCCCCAUCUACUCCCUGUCCUGUCCCCAUCCCCGUCCUUGUCCCCAUCCUGCCCCAUCCCCGUCUUCAUCCCAUCCCCAUCCAAUCCCCAUCCCUGUCCCCAUCCUGUCCCUGUCCCCACCCCCCUGUCCCCGUCCCCAUCCUGUCCCCAGCUCCAUCUGCUCCUUAUCCCUGUCCCCAUCCCAUCCCCAUCCCCGUCCCUAUUCCCAUCCCAUCCCCAUCCCCGUCCCUAUUCCCAUCCCGUCCCCGUCCCCCCGUACCGUGCAGCGGGGGCAGAGCCACUCCCCGUUGGGGACCUCGGGCAGGGGGGGGUUGAGGCAGUGGAUGUGGUAGGAGGAGAUGCAGGCGUCGCAGCACAGCAGCUCGCCGCCGUCCUUGCAGACGCGGCAGUACUCCAUGUGGUCGUCCUCCUCCUCCUUCUCGCAGUGGGGGCAGCUCCAGCGCCCCUCGGGCGCGCGGUCGAGCUCGGGGUCGAGGCAGACGAGGUGGUAGGCGCGGGGGCAGGUGUCGCACAGGAUGAUCUCCCCCCCCUGCUGGCACACCUCGCAGUAGUCCUGGUGGUCGGUCUCGUAGCCGUCCCCGUCCUCCUCCGGCCCCGGGCCUGCGGGGACAGCACCGCCCGCUGCCACCGAGCCCCAGGGGACACGGGGGGGGGGCGUGGGGACAGAGGGGUGGGGGGCGGGGGGAUGGGGGUGGGGGUGGGGAGAAGGGGGUGGGGGGAUGGGGACAUUGGGAUGGGGGUGGGGGGAUGGGGGCAGGGGACGCUGGGGACAGUGGGGGGAUGGGGCACUGGGAGCACUGGGGAUGGGGAAUGGGGUUGGGAUGGGGACAGGAUGGGGAGAGGAUGGGGACAGGGAUGGGGACAGGGACAGGAUGGGGAUGGGGACAAGGUGGGGAAAGGGACAUGGAUGGGGACAGGAUUGGGACAGGAUUAGGACGGGGAUGGGGACAAGGAUGGGGACAGGGGAUGGGGAAAGGGAUGGGGAGAGGAUGGGGACAGGGACAGGAUGAGGACGGGAGCAGGGAUGGGGACAGGGACAGGGAUUGGGAGAGGGGACAGAGACACAGGUGGGGACACCGUGGUCAAUGGGGCCACCACGGGCACUGGGGGACGCCUGGGGACAGGAGCACCUAGGGGUAAGGUCAGAUUUUGGGACACAAGGGACACCAGGGAGAGAUGGGGGGACAGGGAUAUGGGGACAGGGGCGUGGGGACAAUGGGGAUGGGGACAUCAGGACACGAGGGGCAGCAGGGAUGGGGACAGCGGGGACAGAUGGUGGGGACACCUGGGGACACACAGACGUCAGGACAUGGGGACAUGGGAACAACGGGGACACGGACAAGGGAGAGCCCCCGGCCAGACGGUGUGGAGGGGGACCCGGGGGACCCCCAGCCCCAAACCCAGGAGAUGGGGGGGGGCGAGGGGGGUGCCCCUUGCUCCAGGGUGGCCCCUCGGCUUUGGGGACGCCGUGGGGACAAUGUGGGGACAGCGAGGGGGCUCUCACCGUGUGCGGGCACAGCGCCCGUCCCCGCGGGGCCGCGCUCCCGGUUGAGGAUGGUGCAGGGGGCUGCAAGGAGAGACGGCGGCGGCGUCACCCGCGGCCCCGCAGCGGGGAGGGGACACGGGGAGGGGGGUGGGGGAGGGCACGGGGAGGGACGAGGGGCCAGGGGGGAGGACGGGGAGGUGGCGCUCGGGGCCAGGGGCCACUCACCCUUCUUCUUCUUGCGGCCGGGGCGGCCCCGCUUCAGCUUCUUGAUGCGGGCGGCGGGGUCGGAGCGCGCCGAGGCGCUGUGCACGCUCGAGCUCUCCGCGUCCGACUCCUCCUCUGCCUCCCCCGCGUCCUCGCUCUGCAACGGGACGGGGACACGGGGACACUGGGGACACUGGGAGGCACUGGGGGGAAUGAGGGGCACUGGGGGGGAAUGGGGGACACGGGGCUGUGGGGGGUGGUGAGGGGAGAUGGGGUUGGGGGACGCUGCGGGGGGAUGGCAGGGGGUGGGGGACACCUCUGGGUGACACCCGAGGGUGAGGAGGGGACAUGGGGACACCUCUGGGUGACACCCGAGGGUGAGGAGGGGAUGUGGGGUCGGGUGCCACCAGCUGGGGACACCAAGAGCAUGAGGAGGGGCUCAGGGACACCUCUGGGUGACACCCGAGGGGUUAGAUUCCACCACCUGGGGACACCAAGAGGGUGAGGAGGGGACACGGGGACACCUCUGGGUGACAGCAGAAGGUGAGGAGAGGCUGGGGGACACCUCUGGGUGACACCACAGGGUGAGGAGGGGUCAGGUGCCGCCACCUGGGGACAUCUGAGGGCGAGGAGGGGACGUGGGGACACCUCUGGGUGACACCAAGAGGGUGAGGAGGAGCUCAGGGACACCUCUGGGUGACACCAGAGGUCGAGGAAAGGACAUGGGGACACCUUUGGGUGACACCCAAGGGUUAGAAGGGAACAUGGGGACACCUCCAGGUGCCACCUGAGGGCAAGGAGGGAACGUGGGGACACCUAUAGGUGCCACCCAAGGGUUAGAAGGGGACAUAGGGACACCUCUGGGUGCCACCUGAGGGUGAGGAGGGGCUGGGGGACACCUGUGGGUGCCACCUGAGGGGUUGGGUUCCAUCACAUGUGGACACCAGAGGGCAAGAAGGGGACGUGGGGACACCUCCGGGUGCCACCCGCGGGGCCGGGUGCCACCAGUGGGGACAGCAGGGGACAGCAGGGGACAGCAGGGGACAGCGGGGGCCAGGGGGGGCCAGCGGGGCCGUACCGAGCUGCUCUUCUUGCGCUUGCCGCCGAGGACGCCCAGCUUGAUCUUGAGCGGUGCCAUCUUCUUGCCCUUCAGCUUCCGCUUCAGCUCCGGCACCCGCGGGCUCUUGCUGCGCUUCUUGUGCCCGGGCCCUGCCAGGGGACACCGCUGUCCCCAGGGCUCCUGUCCCCAACGGAGGGGGGGGGGACCUGGAGCCUUGUCCCCAACGGGGAGGGGACCUUGGGGUCUCGGAAGGUUGUCCCCAACGGGGAGGGGACCCGGGGGUCCUGGCACUUUGUCCCCAACAUGAAAGGGACCAAUGGGUCCUGGCACCUUGUCCCCAACAGGGAGGUGACCAACGGGUCCCAGUGCCUUGUCCCCAAGAAGGAGGGUCCCCGGGGGUCCUGAUGCCUUGUCCCCAACACAGAGGGUCCCCGAUGGUCCCUUCACCUUGUCCCCAACACGG